GCGGAAGGGUUAGUAAUACAUGGAUAACUUGCCUUUAACUUUGGGAUAACGAUUGGAAACGAUCGCUAAUACCGAAUGUGGUGGGGGUGAAAUAAAUUUACCUUUAUCAAAGUAGGGGAUCGCAAGACCGGGCUUUGCGGUUAAAGAGAGGUCCAUGCGAUAUCAGCUAGUUGGUGUGGUAACGGCGCACCAAGGCUAAGACGUCUAGGCGGAUUGAGAGAUUGA
RNAcentral lists this ribosomal RNA (225 nucleotides) under uncultured Parachlamydia sp. RNAcentral's name for it is "partial 16S ribosomal RNA". It matches the Rfam family "Bacterial small subunit ribosomal RNA", at positions 98 to 303 of the family's 1533-position model. The record is from RNAcentral. Lineage: Bacteria; Pseudomonadati; Chlamydiota; Chlamydiia; Parachlamydiales; Parachlamydiaceae.